CACUGUAUUUUUCAGGGAAUCCCACCAAAAUAAACACACAGCAAUGAAAUUAGCUGCAAUUUUGUCAUAUACCACAGAAAAAGGUACUUUAUACUAACUAGAUUAUAACAUGAAGUAAAUUUUGUUAGCUUUGUGGAAAGCUAAAGGG
Long non-coding RNA from Thalassophryne amazonica, 148 nucleotides. RefSeq lists it as uncharacterized. The transcript is spliced from 3 exons. NCBI's taxonomy places the organism in Eukaryota, Metazoa, Chordata, Actinopteri, Batrachoidiformes, Batrachoididae. The record is from RefSeq and is a predicted model, not a curated record.